This 613-nucleotide long non-coding RNA is filed under the name Triticum aestivum (bread wheat). RNAcentral describes it as "long non-coding RNA (TAES_LNC026693)". Lineage: Eukaryota; Viridiplantae; Streptophyta; Magnoliopsida; Poales; Poaceae. The record is from RNAcentral.
UCCCGAGAUGUUUGUGAGGAAUUGCACAUUACUGCUAGCAAGAUUGCUGAUGAUUGAUACCAUGGUCCAACAGGUAUUCACAUGAAAUUAAUAAAUGGCACCUUAUGGAUUGGAGUACUCUACUGUAUCACCUAUCUAGGAGAUUUUAAUUUUUUCCUUCUAUUAUUUUUCUUAAUCCCUGUGUACUCAUUGGACUUUGUAUAGUUCUCAGUUUUAUGAAGUGGUUCAGGCUGGCGUAAGCCGCCAUACUCCCAGUAAAAAAAGGCUACAAGCUUCGCUUCGGCCUUUCGGAACUGAAUAUUAUGUAGUUUUAUUGAGAUUAUUGAUAGUGCUUCUGUACUAUCAAAGAAGGUAAUAGUCUCUUAUGUGUUUCUUUUUGUCCAUUUGAAUGCACUCCAUUUUUUAGUGUAUUAAUUAACAUCAAAUCUCCCAUUCUUUCUAGAGUACUGAUGUAUUAGUAUUUUCAGCUUAACACAUUUAACUUCCUAUAGAUUUCAUGGUUUAUGCAGAUUAACCGAGCUAAGAAUUUUUGUGAAGCUAAAGCUGGUGUUAAGAUGAACGCCGCUAUGUAUAUAUUUGAAACAGUUAGAUACAUGCUUGACAGACUAUAUAG